Molecule: ribosomal RNA, 440 nt
Filed under: uncultured bacterium
Lineage: Bacteria
Description: partial 16S ribosomal RNA
Rfam family: Bacterial small subunit ribosomal RNA
Source: RNAcentral
CCUACGGGUGGCAGCAGUGGGGAAUAUUGCACAAUGGGGGAAACCCUGAUGCAGCGACGCCGCGUGAGUGAAGAAGUAUUUCGGUAUGUAAAGCUCUAUCAGCAGGGACGAAGAUGACGGUACUUGAUUAAGAAGCCCCGGCUAACUACGUGCCAGCAGCCGCGGUAAUACGUAGGGGGCAAGCGUUAUCCGGCUUUACUGGGUGUAAAGGGCGCGUAGACGGCAGCACAGGUCUGGAGUGAAAAGCAGGGGCUUAACCCCGGAACUGCUUUGGAAACUGUGCAGCUAGAGUGCAGGAGAGGUAAGUGGAAUUCCUGGUGUAGCGGUGAAAUGCGUAGAUAUAAGGAGGAACACCAGUGGCGAAGGCGGAUUACUGGACUGUAACUGACGUUGAGGCUCGAAAGCGUGGGGAGCAAACAGGAUUAGAUACCCUUGUAGUC